RNAcentral lists this ribosomal RNA (119 nucleotides) under Pteropus alecto (black flying fox). Lineage: Eukaryota; Metazoa; Chordata; Mammalia; Chiroptera; Pteropodidae. The record is from RNAcentral.
AUCUACGGCCUUGCCACCCUGAACAAGUCUGAUCCUGUCUAAUCUCAGAAGUUAAGCAGGGUCGGGUUGGGUUAGUACUUGGAUAGUAGACCACCUAGGAAGACUAGGUGCUGUAGGUG